RNAcentral lists this long non-coding RNA (360 nucleotides) under Malus domestica (apple). RNAcentral's name for it is "long non-coding RNA (MDOM_LNC016426)". The record is from RNAcentral. Lineage: Eukaryota; Viridiplantae; Streptophyta; Magnoliopsida; Rosales; Rosaceae.
AGAGUAAAUUGUACAAAUGGUCCCUCAACUUUAAUCAAAUUGGAGCAAUGGUCCCUCAACUAAAAAUCCAUUACCAUUGGUCCCUCAACUUAUCAAAAUGUGUAGCUAUAGUCCUUUUCAUCAAUUUUGUCAAAAUUUUGUCAAAAUAAGCUAUGUUGGAAUGACUAUUUAUAUAAUUAGGGUCCCUUAACUCAUCAAAGUGUAUAAUUAUGGUUCUUUUCGUCAACUAUGUCAAAAAAUUUGUUAAAACGAGUUAUAUUGGAAGGACCAUUGCUACAAUUGGGUUAAAGUUAAAGGACCAUUUCUCCACUUGAAUUAAAGUUCAGGGACCAAUGGUAAUGGAUUUUUAGUUGAGGGACC